AACGAACGCUGGCGGCAUGCCUAACACAUGCAAGUCGAACGAGACCUUCGGGUCUAGUGGCGCACGGGUGCGUAACGCGUGGGAACCUGCCCUUAGGUUCGGAAUAACUCCCCGAAAGGGGUGCUAAUACCGGAUAAUGUCUUCGGACCAAAGAUUUAUCGCCUUUGGAUGGGCCCGCGUUGGAUUAGCUAGUUGGUAGGGUAAAAGCCUACUAAGGCGACGAUCCAUAGCUGGUCUGAGAGGAUGAUCAGCCACACUGGGACUGAGACACGGCCCAGACUCCUACGGGAGGCAGCAGUGGGGAAUAUUCGACAAUGGGCGAAAGCCUGAUCCAGCAAUGCCGCGUGAGUGAUGAAGGCCUUAGGGUUGUAAAGCUCUUUUACCCGGGAUGAUAAUGACAGUACCGGGAGAAUAAGCUCCGGCUAACUCCGUG
Molecule: ribosomal RNA, 433 nt
Filed under: uncultured bacterium
Lineage: Bacteria
Description: partial 16S ribosomal RNA
Rfam family: Bacterial small subunit ribosomal RNA
Source: RNAcentral